RNAcentral lists this long non-coding RNA (261 nucleotides) under Homo sapiens (human). Its description in RNAcentral is "HSALNT0170919". Lineage: Eukaryota; Metazoa; Chordata; Mammalia; Primates; Hominidae. The record is from RNAcentral.
GCCUUCAGGGCGUUGAUGACCGUCUCGAUGUGCGUCUUGACAGCCUCAUGGGAGAACUCAGAGCUGGCCAGCGUGCACAUGCUCUCCAGGGCCAGACACCUGUCAUGGUGAAUGAUUAAGCUGAUGGCCUCGAAGAGCACGGCAUUCUUCGCGUUGGAGUGCUGGACCUUCUUCGACUUGGGCGGUUCUUGGGCUUUGUUCAGGAUGGUCUCCAGGCACUCAGUCAGGCGGCCUCGCACUGCAGGGUCUUCUGGGCAAGAC